Molecule: ribosomal RNA, 843 nt
Filed under: Triticum aestivum (bread wheat)
Lineage: Eukaryota; Viridiplantae; Streptophyta; Magnoliopsida; Poales; Poaceae
Description: partial small subunit ribosomal RNA
Source: RNAcentral
AUGAGGUCUGGGAAGGCAGCGGCUAGCGGGGAUCACGGCCCCGGCGAAGGAGCCCCGACGAGGGAGGGAGGCUGGUGGCGGGGAUCACGGGCCCGGCGAAGGAGCCCCGGCGAGGGAGGGAGGCAGGAGGCGAGGAGCACGACCCCGGCGAAGGAGCCCCGGCGAGGGAGGGAGGCUGGAUGCCGGGAUCACGGGCCCGGCGAAGGAGCCCCGGCGAAGGAGGGAGGCAGGAGGCGGGGAUCACGGCCCCAUCAUUGCUUUGCCACCGAGGAAGGGGAUGGCGGCGGUGGAUCCGUCCCCGGCCAGUCACGGCGCCGCGGGCUCCCUCGCUCCAGCUGCCGCCGUCGCUCGCUCGCCCACGACGGCUGCCUCCGGCAGAAGAAGUCCAAGAAGGAUUGGCCAGUGCUGCCGGCUGGCGUCAAGUUCAAUCGCACGGAUCAGGAGCUGAUCGAGCACCUUGAGGCCAAAGUGAAUGCUGAAAGCGCGAGAUCUCACCCUCUCAUCGAUUUGUUCAUACCAAUCAUCGACAGCGAGCACCGCAAUUCCAGGGCGUUCAAAAGGGGCAUGUGGACGCGUCGCAAGAUACAGUCGGAGUGCCGCAUGCACGCGAUGUGGCACAAGACCGGCAAUACCUUGCCGGUGAUGGUCAACGGCCGGCAGACGGGAAGCAAAAAAUUUCUGGUGCUGCAUAACAACAAGAAGUUUGACCAGCAGAGCACCAACUCGGUGAUGCACCAGUACCACCUCGGGGACCUGGCGCAAGAGAAGGAGCGGGAGCUGGUCCUCUGCAAGAUUUUCUACCAGACGAACACUAGGGCUAGGACUAAAAAGAUUAUAAGUUAG